ACGCUGGCGGCAGGCUUAACACAUGCAAGUCGAACGGUAGCAGGAGAAAGCUUGCUUUCUUGCUGACGAGUGGCGGACGGGUGAGUAAUGCCUGGGAAUCUGGCUUAUGGAGGGGGAUAACGACGGGAAACUGUCGCUAAUACCGCGUAGUGUCGAGAGACGAAAGUGCGGGACUGAGAGGCCGCAUGCCAUAGGAUGAGCCCAAGUGGGAUUAGGUAGUUGGUGGGGUAAAGGUCUACCAAGCCUGCGAUCUCUAGCUGGUCUGAGAGGAUGACCAGCCACACUGGAACUGAGACACGGUCCAGACUCCUACGGGAGGCAGCAGUGGGGAAUAUUGCGCAAUGGGGGGAACCCUGACGCAGCCAUGCCGCGUGAAUGAAGAAGGCCUUCGGGUUGUAAAGUUCUUUCGGUAUUGAGGAAGGUUGAUGUGUUAAUAGCACAUCAAAUUGACGUUAAAUACAGAAGAAGCACCGGCUAACUCCGUGCCAGCAGCCGCGGUAAUACGGAGGGUGCGAGCGUUAAUCGGAAUAACUGGGCGUAAAGGGCACGCAGGCGGUUAUUUAAGUGAGGUGUGAAAGCCCUGGGCUUAACCUAGGAAUUGCAUUUCAGACUGGGUAACUAGAGUACUUUAGGGAGGGGUAGA
RNAcentral lists this ribosomal RNA (643 nucleotides) under uncultured bacterium. Its description in RNAcentral is "bacterial SSU rRNA". It matches the Rfam family "Bacterial small subunit ribosomal RNA", at positions 33 to 665 of the family's 1533-position model. The record is from RNAcentral.